AGUGAACGCUGGCGGUAGGCCUAACACAUGCAAGUCGAACGGCAGCACAGUAAGAGCUUGCUCUUACGGGUGGCGAGUGGCGGACGGGUGAGGAAUACAUCGGAAUCUACUUUUUCGUGGGGGAUAACGUAGGGAAACUUACGCUAAUACCGCAUACGACCUACGGGUGAAAGCAGGGGAUCUUCGGACCUUGCGCGAUUGAAUGAGCCGAUGUCGGAUUAGCUAGUUGGCGGGGUAAAGGCCCACCAAGGCAACGAUCCGUAGCUGGUCUGAGAGGAUGAUCGGCCACACUGGAACUGAGACACGGUCCAGACUCCUACGGGAGGCAGCAGUGGGGAAUAUUGGACAAUGGGCGCAAGCCUGAUCCAGCCAUACCGCGUGGGUGAAGAAGGCCUUCGGGUUGUAAAGCCCUUUUGUUGGGAAAGAAAAGCAGCAGGUUAAUACCCCGCUGUUCUGACGGUACCCAAAGAAUAAGCACCGGCUAACUUCGUG
Molecule: ribosomal RNA, 492 nt
Filed under: uncultured bacterium
Lineage: Bacteria
Description: partial 16S ribosomal RNA
Rfam family: Bacterial small subunit ribosomal RNA
Source: RNAcentral